GCCGCUGUAGCUCUAACUGGCUCAGAGCAACGCCCUUGUAAGGCGAAGGCUAUCGGUUCGAGUCCGGUCAGCGGCUCCA
RNAcentral lists this transfer RNA (79 nucleotides) under Patescibacteria group bacterium. RNAcentral's name for it is "tRNA-Thr". It matches the Rfam family "tRNA". Rfam says of the family: Transfer RNA (tRNA) molecules are approximately 80 nucleotides in length. Their secondary structure includes four short double-helical elements and three loops (D, anti-codon, and T loops). Further hydrogen bonds mediate the characteristic L-shaped molecular structure. tRNAs have two regions of fundamental functional importance: the anti-codon, which is responsible for specific mRNA codon recognition, and the 3' end, to which the tRNAs corresponding amino acid is attached (by aminoacyl-tRNA synthetases). tRNAs cope with the degeneracy of the genetic code in two manners: having more than one tRNA (with a specific anti-codon) for a particular amino acid; and 'wobble' base-pairing, i.e. permitting non-standard base-pairing at the 3rd anti-codon position. RNAcentral also lists the same sequence under 1 other name. The record is from RNAcentral.